UUCUUGUCUUUCAGAAGAGGGCAAGGCCAUGGAAACUCUGAAGAUCCAUUUAAACUCCAACAUCUAAUACUUUUCAGUUUAUAGUGAAGCUGAUGAAGACCCUCAUCCUAGGAGGAUACCCACCACCACCCAGUAAUCACCCUGGAAUCUGCCACAUGUGAUGUUUGCCUUCCCUUCACCGUGCAACAGGUGCUUCUCUCCCAGCUGGUCCUGAGGGCUGGACACAAGAACCUGCAUAUUCAUUGUGGAGCUGUGUGCUGGACCCAAUGAGUCUGAUGGAUAGGAAGCAUGUGGGGCUCAGUCACACAGGGGAUCCAGAUGUUAUGUAUCAAGUGGAUCAUGACCAGGCACUGAGACCUGC
Long non-coding RNA from Marmota flaviventris (yellow-bellied marmot), 361 nucleotides. RefSeq lists it as uncharacterized. The record is from RefSeq and is a predicted model, not a curated record. Lineage: Eukaryota; Metazoa; Chordata; Mammalia; Rodentia; Sciuridae.